AGCAGCCGCGGUAAUUCCAGCUCCAAUAGCGUAUAUUAAAGUUGUUGCAGUUAAAAAGCUCGUAGUUGAACUUCAGGCCUGUCCAGAUGGUCCGCCUUAAUUGGUGUGUACUGUCCUUGGGUGGGUCCUACCUUCUGGCGAAGCGGCAUGGCCUUAGUUGGUUGUGUCGGGGAACCAGGACUUUUACUGUGAAAAAUUAGAGUGUUCAAAGCAGGCAUAUAUGCUCGAAUACAUUAGCAUGGAAUAAUGGAAUAGGACGAUGGUUCUAUUUUGUUGGUUCUAGGACCGUUGUAAUGAUUAAUAGGGAUAGUUGGGGGCAUUAGUAUUCAAUUGUCAGAGGUGAAAUUCUUGGAUUUAUUGAAGACUAACUACUGCGAAAGCAUUUGCCAAGGAUGUUUUCAUUAAUCAAGAACGAAAGUUAGGGGAUCGAAGACGAUCAGAUACCGUCGUAGUCUUAACC
Molecule: ribosomal RNA, 460 nt
Filed under: uncultured Glomus
Lineage: Eukaryota; Fungi; Glomeromycota; Glomeromycetes; Glomerales; Glomeraceae
Description: bacterial SSU rRNA
Rfam family: Eukaryotic small subunit ribosomal RNA
Source: RNAcentral